UACGGGGGGGGCAAGCGUUGUUCGGAAUUACUGGGCGUAAAGGGCUCGUAGGCGGCCAACUAAGUCAGACGUGAAAUCCCUCGGCUUAACCGGGGAACUGCGUCUGAUACUGGAUGGCUUGAGGUUGGGAGAGGGAUGCGGAAUUCCAGGUGUAGCGGUGAAAUGCGUAGAUAUCAGGAGGAACACCGAUGGCGAAGGCAGUUCUCUGGGCCGUAACUGACGCUGAGACGCGAAAGCGUGGGGAGCAAACAGG
Molecule: ribosomal RNA, 253 nt
Filed under: uncultured bacterium
Lineage: Bacteria
Description: partial 16S ribosomal RNA
Rfam family: Bacterial small subunit ribosomal RNA
Source: RNAcentral